UACGGGGGGAGCAAGCGUUGUUCGGAUUUACUGGGCGUAAAGGGCGCGUAGGCGGUCAGCACAAGUCAGUUGUGAAAUCUCCGGGCUUAACUCGGAAAGGUCAACUGAUACUGUGCGACUAGAGUUCGGUAGGGGAGACUGGAAUUCCUGGUGUAGCGGUGAAAUGCGCAGAUAUCAGGAGGAACACCGGUGGCGAAGGCGGGUCUCUGGGCCGAUACUGACGCUGAGGAGCGAAAGCGUGGGGAGCGAACAGG
RNAcentral lists this ribosomal RNA (254 nucleotides) under uncultured bacterium. Its description in RNAcentral is "partial 16S ribosomal RNA". It matches the Rfam family "Bacterial small subunit ribosomal RNA", at positions 524 to 776 of the family's 1533-position model. The record is from RNAcentral.